CCUACGGGUGGCUGCAGUGAGGAAUAUUGGUCAAUGGGCGAGAGCCUGAACCAGCCAAGUCGCGUGAGGGUGUACUGCCCUAUGGGUGGUAAACCUCUUUUGUCGGGGGGCAACAGCCGGACGUGUCCGGCUGUGAGAGUAACCGAAGAAAAAGCAUCGGCUAACUCCGUGCCAGCAGACGCGGUAAUAGGGAGGAUGCGAGCGUUAUCCUGAUUUAAUGGGGUGAAAGGGUGCGCUGGCGGAUUUUUAAGUCAGCGGUCAAAUCGUGGGGCUCAACCCCAUCCAGCCGUUGAAACUGGGGAUCUAGAGUGUGCGAGAGGUAUGCGGAAUGCGUGGUGUAGCGGUGAAAUGCAUAGAUAUCACGCAGAACCCCGAUUGCGAAGGCAGCAUACCGGUGCACAACUGACGCUCAGGCAAGAAAGCGUGGGUAUCGAACAGGAUUAGAUACCCCAGUAGUC
This 458-nucleotide ribosomal RNA is filed under the name uncultured bacterium. Its description in RNAcentral is "partial 16S ribosomal RNA". It matches the Rfam family "Bacterial small subunit ribosomal RNA", at positions 338 to 795 of the family's 1533-position model. The record is from RNAcentral.